UUCUACUUGCCAAGGUAGGGGUUACGUAUGUUGUUGUUGAAGAAGAAGCAUGUAGAAAGAGAGAUGUUUUGCUUUGUCUCAUAAGUAUUUGGUUAGCUUGCAAUAUUUUCAUGAAUGGAUGAUGAUUUGUGAGUGGUUAUUUAUGAGAGUUUUGCUUUGUCCUUUGAAAUCUCAUGGACACUAGUUUGAUUCAUGUACAGUCUCCAUACAUAGAGAUGAUGAAGAACAACUUCUUCUUUUUUCGAUCAUCAACUAAUGAUGCAAACAAGACCCCUUCACCACCAUUAAAGUCCAAGGAAGUUUCUUCUUGGAGGAGUGUUUCAUUGUCAUCUGGAUCCUUCUAUGACAGUGGGUCAGGAAAAAAGAAUUUCAUGGAUCUGAGCAAAUCUCCCCAUGGUCACAGUAAGAAAGUUCAUCCUAAGAAAUCUGGUCAUGAUUCAAGUCGG
Molecule: long non-coding RNA, 446 nt
Filed under: Capsicum annuum
Lineage: Eukaryota; Viridiplantae; Streptophyta; Magnoliopsida; Solanales; Solanaceae
Description: long non-coding RNA (CANN_LNC013400)
Source: RNAcentral